AAAUUACUUUGUUUCCUUGAGACUUUUGAACUUUAAUUGCCAUACUGCUGCUUUGAUUCUGCUCAAUAUUUAAUCUGUUGUCUGCCUGCGAUUAAGUAUACGCUUAGUUGCCUAAUCGGUGUCAAUUCUUCGCUUAGUUGAUUAGACUGUACGGUGGAUGACUGAUUAAAUGUGUGCAUUGCAUUCGCUUAGUCUGUAAUUCUGAAGACCGAAUUAGCCUGCACUGUGUCAUAUUUGGAUGAGAGUAGUGUGUACUUGUUGUUGAUCUGGGAUAGGAAGUAUUGUAAUUAAGUUAAUGACCGACCAUUUUUACAUCCAUAUUUGAUUCCGUUUUUAUGUUUCUGUCUGCAUUUCAGUUUUGCAUUUCUGUUUGCAUCCGUCUUUUGAUUUAGUUCAUCCGCAUUCACAAACCUUUCACAACCCCCCCACUUCGUGAUUGACCUGAUUCUCGAACCACAUUUGGUCCUUAAGAGACGACCUAGGAGUCACUUCCUAGCUAUAGUGCAUUUCUCAUAUGCAAUCAAAUUUGUGUGGGCCGCAACACCCAUCAAAAUUUUGGCGCCGUUGUUGGGGACCAACGGUUCGGUUUUAGGUCUUUUGUUGUGUUAGUGUGUGUUGUGUUUUGUCUUGUGUUUUAAGUGUGAUGUUCUGUUUUAUGUGUUCGUCAUUGUGUGUUGCAUUUAGGUAGCUUUAGUUGCAUAUUUUCAUUGCAUUCUUCUUUUCCCCCUUUUACAUGUCUACCUAUUUUGGUGAUGUGAGUAAUGCUUAUUCUUCCUUUGCAUUCUUCUUUUCCCCCCUUUUACAUGUCUACCUAUUUUGGUGAUGUGAGUAAUGCUUAUUCUGCCUAUGUCUAUGACUCUACUUCUGCAUUUGACUCUGAUAUUGCUUGUGAUGUAUACUCUGCUGAUUUCUAUGUUGAGAACAGAACGGUUUCUCCUCCAUCUCAUGAGAGUGCUCCUAGAGAGUCGUUUCCAUUUGAUAAGUAGGAUAUUCGUUGUGUUUU
RNAcentral lists this long non-coding RNA (1003 nucleotides) under Vigna radiata. Its description in RNAcentral is "long non-coding RNA (VRAD_LNC006840)". The record is from RNAcentral. Lineage: Eukaryota; Viridiplantae; Streptophyta; Magnoliopsida; Fabales; Fabaceae.